UCUCCUUUGUUCCAACGGUAAGAUGCCUACUUGUCUUGUCGGCGACAGUGGUUCGACUCCACUAGGGAGAG
Non-coding RNA from Atractiella rhizophila, 71 nucleotides. The record is from the annotation of a GenBank genome assembly. NCBI's taxonomy places the organism in Eukaryota, Fungi, Basidiomycota, Atractiellomycetes, Atractiellales, Hoehnelomycetaceae.